Molecule: unclassified non-coding RNA, 5470 nt
Filed under: Gigantopelta aegis
Lineage: Eukaryota; Metazoa; Mollusca; Gastropoda; Neomphalida; Peltospiridae
Description: paired amphipathic helix protein Sin3a-like, transcript variant X5
Source: RNAcentral
UAGACCUAAAUAGAAUCAGUUUAUGUGGGGUAUCCGCGGUGAUUUCCCUUUGGAUUAUCUGUUAAAAUCGCUGUCAUCACCAAAUAUUUUGAGAUUGACUUAGGACGGAUCUACACCACCAUUCUACAUGUGACCGCCAGCCACACUGACGAUUACCAGUGGCAACAGACAUCGCCGUGGUAACCACCCUGGAAAUGAUGCAGCGUUGUCUUGACGACCAAAGAAGAGUUAAUCCUAGUGAAUCGUACCCAAGAGUUAUUGCCCCUGGAGGCCAGCGGUAUGGAGAAGUUGGAGAAAAUCUGACAAGUGGAAUGUCAUUUACCAUGCAGGGCUAUCCACCGGUCAACCAGAGUGGAGGCCACCACUCCCCCUCAGUGCACCACCCUUUGUCUCACCCUGGCAUUCCACAACAGGCUCCGCCCUCGGCCCCGCCCUCCAUCACCCAGCCAUCCAUCUCGACGCAGGCUCAGGUAUCGGCGGCACAGGGGGCGGCCCAAGUCGUGAGUGACAUGUUUACACAUUCGGCUCAGGUUCAAGGUCAACAGCAGCAGUUUCAGAGAUUAAAGGUCGAGGACGCACUGUCGUACCUAGAUCAGGUGAAGCUGCAGUUUGGAAACCAGCCGCAAGUCUACAACGACUUCCUCGACAUCAUGAAGGAGUUCAAAUCUCAGACCAUUGAUACGCCAGGUGUAAUCAAUCGCGUAUCAAACCUCUUCAAAGGUCAUCCUGACCUCAUUGUGGGUUUCAACACCUUCCUACCACCUGGCUACAAGAUCGAGGUCCAGUCUGAGGUCAUCAACGUCCACCAGCCGGGUCAACAGGUCAUCUCCAUACAGCAUUGUGUCACUCCCAUUGCACCACAGAGUAAACCCGUGCCCCAUGUGCCCACCCCACCCGCCCACCCCGUAGCCCCUCCCCCACAGCAUCAUUCCUAUCACCACUCGCCACGACAACCGGAACCGACGCCAGUUGUUCCUCAACCGCAACCGCAGACCCAACCCCCCCAACAACAGCACCCCCUCCCCCAUGUCCCUCCACCCCAACCACCCCCACCACAAGCGCAACCACAGCAGCAGCCGCAGCAGCAGCCCCAAGCGAGUCAGCCGGUGGAGUUCAACCACGCCAUCAACUACGUGAACAAGAUCAAGAAUCGAUUCCAGGGCCAGCCAGAAAUCUACAAACAAUUUCUCGAGAUUCUACACACAUACCAGAAAGAACAGCGCAACCUAAAGGAAGUGGGAUCAGUACAGGGCCUCGUUCCCCCGGGUUACAAGCCGCUGACGGAGGCGGAGGUGUAUGCGAAGGUGGCCAAGUUGUUUCAGAACCAGGAAGACUUGCUCAACGAGUUCGGGCAGUUUCUACCCGAUGCGAACGGCUCGUCCUCGUACCUCGCCGCUUACGUUAGCGUAAGUAACUUCACAAGCGACUCUGUGCUGGGCGUGCGUAACGACCACUCGUCCACAGUUAAGAAACCAGGUUUCAACAACAAGAACCAGUCGAGUAAGAGCAGUCAGAUAAAACGAACGCUGUCUGGAUCGCAGGGCCCUAUCAAGAAGCUCAAGACGAGCCACCUGAAGGACAUCUCACUGGCGGAGGCUGGCAAAUACGGGACACUCAACGAGUUCGCCUUCUUCGACAAGGUGCGGAAGGCGUUACGCUAUCAGGAAGUGUACGACAACUUCCUGCGAUGUCUCGUGCUCUUCAACCAGGAAGUGAUCUCCAGGUCGGAGGUCGUGCAGCUGGUACAGAACUUUCUCGGGAAAUUUCCCGAACUCUUCAAGUGGUUCAAAGAUUUCCUCGGCUACAAGGAGUCGGGCGGCAGUGUGGAGUCCAUUUCUCAGAAUGCCGUCAAGGAACGAAUCAGUGGAGACCUUGCUAUGGAUAUUGAUUUUGCCACGUGUAAGCGUUACGGUGCCAGUUACCGGGCCCUGCCCAAGUCGUACUACCAGCCCAAGUGUUCUGGAAGGACGGCGCUCUGUAAGGAGGUUUUAAAUAACACGUGGGUUUCCUUCCCCUCCUGGUCGGAAGAUUCCACUUUUGUCACGUCACGCAAAACACAAUACGAGGAGCAUAUCUAUAGAUGUGAGGAUGAGCGAUUUGAGCUUGACGUUGUCAUAGAAACGAACCUCUCGACGAUUCGGGUAUUAGAAGCAGUCCAGAAGAAAAUGUCUCGAAUGACGUCCGAAGAGGCGGCCAAAUUUAAACUGGACAACACACUGGGCGGGUGUUCGGAGGUCCUGCACAGAAAGGCCAUACAGAGAAUAUACGGUGACAAGGCCCCCGAUAUUAUUGAUGGUUUGAGAAAGAAUCCCGUGGUGGCAGUUCCUCUAGUACUGAGACGGUUGAAGGCUAAGGAGGAGGAGUGGAGAGAGGCCCAAAGAGGGUUUAAUAAAAUCUGGCGCGAGCAGAACGAGAAAUAUUAUCUGAAGAGUCUUGACCACCAGGGCAUCAACUUCAAACAGAAUGACAUCAAGUCGAUACGGUCAAAAGCCUUGUUGAACGAAAUCGAAACUAUAUUCGACGAGCGUCAGGAGCAGCUACAAGAGGGGGGCAGUGAGUCGACGUCGUCGGAGCCCCACCUGUCUCUGUUCUACAAGGACAAGUCAAUCAUCGAUGAUGCAGCGUCACUCAUCAUCCACCACAUGAAGAGACAGGCCGGAAUUCACAAAGAGGACAAGAGGAAGAUCAAACAGCUGCUGUACCAGACACUGCCCGAUCUGUUCUUCACGCAGCGCAGCGAGCUUAGUGACGACGAGGCUGACAAAGACGAGGACAUGGACACGGAUGAGAUUAAGAAAGAGCCGGAGAUAAAGAUGGAGGAAGGGGAGACAAUUGCUGCAGACCCCGCUGACAGCCGAAUUACGCUGAACGGCAACAAAGAUGAGAAACCUAAAGACGUUGUCGUCAAAACGGAGGACGACACACCGGUUGCUCCUGACUCGCCCGUUGUCAACGGCAAUGAUUAUUCGUCCCCGACAGAAACUCCAGACAGAUCGACAGAUGAUGACCUGUACACCCUGUUCUAUGUGAACAACAACUGGUAUUUGUUGCUGCGACUGCACCACCUGUUGUGUGAGCGACUUCACAAGAUCUAUAUCCACACCCAGAAAAUCAUUGAGGAGAACGGUCACUGUCGACGCGAGAGGAAGGAGUCGACGGCCACGUCACUCCGACUGCGCACCCCGUUUGAGAUUGACCCCGUCGACUAUUACCAGUACCUGCUGGACAUGGUGAAGAGCCUGUUGGACGGUAACAUCGAGUCGGGCCACUAUGAGGACCAGCUGCGCGAGAUGUUCGGAAUCCACGCCUACAUCGCGUUCACCAUGGACAAACUGGUGCAGAACUCCGUCAGACAGCUCCAACACAUUGUGGGUGAUGAGUCGAUACAGAAGGUGAUAGAACUGUUCAGUGAAGAGAAGGCAAGUCACGCGACUGGUGGUCGCCUAGCAACGCAGCACCAGCGGCAGUCGGCGGAGGCCAACUACCAGAGACGGGCAGAACAGCUGCUCGCCGAGGAAAACUGCUUUAAAAUAAUCGUGUACCAGAAGGACUGCCAGGUGACGUUUGAGCUGCUGGACACGGAACAUGACCAGUCGGACGACCCGGUGGAGGUCGAGCGGUGGUCGGAGUACGUGGAGCGGUACGUCGCCCAGGACGACACCAUCUCUGACCAGCUCAAGGACCAGCUCACCAAGAAACCCGUCUUUCUGCCGCGAAACGUGCGUCACACUCGACAACACAAUAAGAAUCAGAAAUCUCGCGUGGAGAGAGAGAUGAAGGACAGGGAGGAGCAGCAGGAUGGAGAGAUGGACGCGGCCGAAAUGAGGGAGGAAAAGACCGACACAGACAAAGACUCGUCGCGGAGUCGGCCGGCGGGUGACCUUGACAUUCUGGACAGCACGGGCUGCAAGUUCAACGUGAACUCGUUCAAGAUGGUCUACGUGGUGAACUGCGAGAGUUACCUCUACAAGAGGAUGGCACUGAACAGAGCCAAGGAGUCUCACAAGAAAGUGUCUGUGCGUCUUCACGAGAAGUUCAUGUCGUGGGUCAACAAGUGGUGCGACGUGAACGUCACGGCGGAGGAAGAGUCGAAAACGACGCAGUGGUUGCUGGGCGAUGUCGUCGACUCGAAACACUGUCAAACAACGUGCAACAAGAUCUACCGGCCCGAUAGGGCGCCGUAUUACGAAUACCACAAAUACACCGUGCAGUCGCUCGAACCGACCCCAGAACCCGAACCAGUGACCGAAUAAACCAGAUUUACACUUCUGGGGACUGAACACAAAACAUGAAAUAAAGUGGGCAAAUAUCAAAUCUACUUAAUAUCGCAAAUUUCAGUAGACAAAUGUUAAAAAAGGUUAAAUUAUUUCUUGAAAAGUGAGUGCUAAAAAGGGUUAACAAUAAGUUGAAUAGGUGUUAAAGGGGUUAAUAAUUCUUGAUAGGUAUGUGUUAAAAGGGUUGAUUUUUUUUAUAAGUGAGUGUUGAAAAGGUUAAUAAUUCACGAUAGGAAAGGUUUAAAAGGAUUGGAUUUGUUUUUAUAGGUGAGUUUUGAAAGGGUUAAUAAUUCACGAUAGGAAAGGUUUAAAAGGAUUGGAUUUGUUUUUAUAGGUGAGUUUUGAAAGGGUUAAUCGGGUUAAUAAUUCUUGAUUGGCGAGUGUUAAAGGGUUAACAAUGGACUGAUAGUCCGUCCCAUCAUUCUUUGAAAAUGUUUUUGGUAAAUAAUUUAAGUUUGGUUUGACAUAAGACGAAAAGUAAAAGUGUUUCAGAAAUAACAUAAAAAUACUGUUUCUGUGUGCAAUUUACAAAUCAGUUGACUUAGAAAUAAAUAAUUUGUAGUUUAUUCCAUAGCAUGAAAAAAAGUGGGAUGGACUAUAGUUAUGUAGUAGGGUAAUAAAGAAAUGUAUGUGUUUCUGUUGAGAGUAUAGGUCAAUAAAUGGUUUCUGUUGAGAAUAGUAAGGGUUAAUGGUCGAAUUGGAAGCAAUACAGUUGGUAGAUACAAAUUGAAAUAUUUUACUAAAAUUUCACCCGUUUGGAGAUCAGAAUAAAACUGAAAUUUCACCUGUUUGGAGAUCACAAGUAAAAUUGAAAUUUCACCCGUUUGGAGAUCAGAAUAAAACUGAAAUUUCACCCAUUUGGAGAUCACAAUUAAAAGUGUGAAAUUUCACCUGCUUGGAGAUCACAAUUAAAAGUGUGAAAUUUCACCUGCUUGGCAAUGACAGUUGAAAAGUGAAGUUUCUGUGAGAAGGAAAAUGGACAUGAGAAGGGAAAGGGACGUGUGUUUGGCAGACAUAUUGUUUUGUCUGAGUUCAUUGUUCAUACAUUUGUGUACAUUGUGUUAAUAGUUCAUCACGAAGCUUUUCUUAACGGAGGAACAUGUCAGACUUAUCAUGUGUAGAGUUAGUGGGCGGCGCGAACACCGCCUCGACUGUUUACCUUGAAAUCAUUAUUUAAAAUAAACAUUGAACAGUCA